RNAcentral lists this ribosomal RNA (253 nucleotides) under uncultured bacterium. RNAcentral's name for it is "partial 16S ribosomal RNA". It matches the Rfam family "Bacterial small subunit ribosomal RNA", at positions 524 to 776 of the family's 1533-position model. The record is from RNAcentral.
UACGUAGGGUGCGAGCGUUGUUCGGAAUUACUGGGCGUAAAGGGCGCGUAGGCGGCCUUCUAAGUCGAACGUGAAAUCCCCGGGCUCAACCCGGGAACUGCGUCCGAGACUGAAAGGCUCGAAUCCGGGAGAGGGAUGUGGAAUUCCAGGUGUAGCGGUGAAAUGCGUAGAUAUCUGGAGGAACAUCGGUGGCGAAGGCGGCAUCCUGGACCGGUAUUGACGCUGAGGCGCGAAAGCCAGGGGAGCAAACGGG